Molecule: ribosomal RNA, 253 nt
Filed under: uncultured bacterium
Lineage: Bacteria
Description: partial 16S ribosomal RNA
Rfam family: Bacterial small subunit ribosomal RNA
Source: RNAcentral
UACGGAGGAUCCAAGCGUUAUCCGGAUUCAUUGGGUUUAAAGGGUGCGUAGGUGGCCUGUUAAGUCAGGGUGAAAGACGGUAAGCGUUAACUAUCGCAGUGCCCUUGAUACUGAUGGCUUGGAAUGAACUAGAGGUAGGCGGAAUGUGACAAGUAGCGGUGAAAUGCAUAGAUAUGUCACAGAACACCAAUGCGAAGGCAGCUUACUAUGGUUUUAUUGACACUGAGGCACGAAAGCGUGGGGAUCAAACAGG